Molecule: long non-coding RNA, 1217 nt
Organism: Myxocyprinus asiaticus (Chinese sucker)
Lineage: Eukaryota; Metazoa; Chordata; Actinopteri; Cypriniformes; Catostomidae
Exons: 3
Source: RefSeq, a predicted model, not a curated record
UGUGACACAACAGCAUGACGUCGAUUUCCUUGAAGCACUCCUACAGACGCAGUGCCAACAAAAGUGCCUCUGGUUCUUCAAGUUAUCCGUCUCCACACCAUAGUUCUGAGGAAGAGGCGGAAAAUUAUAUACUACAGAGCUGUGAGACAAGAGGAGGCUCUUUCCAUCAAGGAGGCUGAUAGAUGUUAAGGCCAAAACAGACAUAUAAGGUUUUGGAAGAAACCCUGGAGAAACAAUCAAGCUUCUUCAAACACAGCUGGACGGAGCGCAACUAUGAAUACAGGGGCCUCGAAAAGUGUUUUCCUAAGUUUCAAACUACAUUUAAAUUGUCACAAGUUUAUGAUGCGACAUAAUCAAAGUGAGCCACUUCAAAAGCAUAAGUCUGAUGCAUCAAGUCUACUGUAAAUGUAAUUAUACCAAGCUAUUGCUGAACGCUUGAUUCUGAUUGGCUAACAGAUGCUCCAAGUUGUUGAUUAAUUUUCUGAACUGCAUUGCUAUGAAGUAGUUCCAAGUUUGUUGACUGCAUUUCAGUUCUAUAUCACUUCACCAUAGUGAGAAUACAGCUCUUUGAUGCUAGGGAAAUCUAAUAAAAUCGACAAACAAUUUAGAUUAUUUUUUUAUUUUUUUCAAAGUCUCUUUCAAUAUCUGGAAAGCAUGGCAAUUUCAGCAAACAUAAUCAAUACAACUUUUUUUCCCCCAGUGUCUCUACUAGUCACCUUGCUAAUGAUAAAUGUAAUUACAAGUAGGGCUGUCGAUUUAAUGUGUUAUUUUGUGUGAUUAAUUAAACAAAAUAAUUACGGUUUAACAAAUUAAUGCAAUUGUAACAGGUAAAGGAUGGGCAAGGAGGUGGCGGGAACUGGCUGAACAGUAAACAACGUUAAAUGAUAAAACUCAACAUAAAACAGACAUAAACAAACACAGAUACUCAUGCAGUGCGGCCAUGUGUAUCUCUCUCUCCUGAACCUGCGUCUCCAGCUGCCCUUUAUCUCGCACUCCCGCUGAUUAGCUGAUUCAGAAGAAUCAGAAUCAGCUUUAUUGCCAAGUAUGCUUACACAUACAAGAAAUUUGUCUUGGUGACAGGAGCUUCCAAUGUACAACAAUACAAAAACAAUACAAAAACAGCAGCAAGACAGAUAAUAAUAGAAAAUAAAAAUAAUUAUACACAUACGUAUAUACACACACAGACACACACAUACAUACACACACACAUAUGUAGU